AACCCCAUUUUGCGGACUUUUUCGCUAAUCACCUUCCACCUAUGGCGUCCUUCGCUCGGCUGCUUCUUCCCUGAACCCUAACACAACCCUCUUCCAUUUUUCUUCUUCCUUCUCCUCUCUCCAUCAAUGGCGGAUUUCUCCUUCCUCUCCGACACAGACGAUUCCGCCGUCGAAGAUCUUCUUUCCCAAACUCAGGAUCUCUGUGUUCUCGAGCAACUCUCUGCCAUCAACUGCUCUGGCUUCACCAACUCCGUUCUUCCCACUGACCUUGAAUCCCGAUUCCGCAAGCUCAAAUCCUUUCCUGCUGCUAAAUCCGAGACCAGGUCCGGUUUCGAUUCCAAGAAUAAUCCGUCUGUACACUCUGCCGAUGAGAAUUUGGGCGACGAUUUUGCUGGGUUUUCUCCGUCUAAACAGAGUCAUAAGAAGGAAUUAGGGUUUAGCCCUAAAUCUCAGUCGCAGCGUCUUCCGGAUUCUUCAUCGGGAAAAGUAAAUUCGACGCCUCGUUCCAGAGCGAAAUCGAAAUGUAGGCACGUUUCAUCUCCUUCGAAUUCUUCGUCUUCGUCUAGUGAAAUCGAUGAAAUCUCAGUAUCGAAGAAUGAUAGCGAAAUCCGCUCGAAAACCAAGUCGGAAUCGGGAUACUUGGCUUCUCCGCCACAAUCUCCGCCGAGAAAAACCGGUUGUUUUUGGUGUUCACCGAAGAAAACUUCGGAGAAGAAGAAUAGCGGCAACAGAAUUCUGGAGAAUGACCUUGGAUGGGGUAAGAACAACGAUUUUCUCUCAGACUUGAACAUUUUUUCGGCAAAAGAGCAACAGAAAAUUCUGAAAAAGGCAAUGAAAGAGGAAGAGAAGAUAAAUCGGGAGGCUGAGAAAAUUGUGAAAUGGGCGAAGCAAGCUUCUGCUAGGAUGAAUAUUUCAGACAUUGAAGACGAGCUUAGCGAUCAAGAAAUCAAGAAAUGACCCUUGACCGCACCAAUCAUCUCUUGCUGGCAUUUGUGGGUUGUCGUCGUGUCGUCUGUGUGCAGAUCUGGUGUUCGUGGUUUGUCGUCAUGUCAUUCGCAUGCAAAUUUGGCCAAGCAGAUUGAGUUUCAUGUGCAGCCGUGCAGAUCUUGUGCAGAUCCGACGUUCGUGGGUUGUCUUCGUGUCGUUUGCGUGCAGAUCCAACGUUUGAGUGUAGAUCCGGCCAAGCAGAUUGAAUUUCGUGUGCGGCCGUGCAGAUCGCGUAUAGUGGCGUUCGUGGGUUGUCUUCAUGUCGUUCGCAUCCAGAUCCUACGUUCACGUGCAGCUCCAGCAUUCGCGUGCAAAUCUAGUUGUACAAUUCUGGCCAUGCAGAUCGUGUGCAGAUCCGACGUUCGUGGGUUGUCGUCGUCGGCAUUACAAGCUCAGUCGUGUUGGGUAAGCCGGCCGGUCGUCAGAUCUGUUCCAAUCUUCGAGCUCAGUUCGGGUCUUUUCAAGUUUUGUGGGUUGUUUCCGUUGUUUGCUUGGAAAGUGGAUUGAAAACAUGGCAAGCUAAGCACUAUCUCCAACACCAUCAGUCUUCUCCAAAAUGGAAACAUAUAAAGUUCAAUACAAAAAAUGCAUAUACCCAAUGAGAGAUUGACGUAAUUUGAACACAAUGGACAAGUUUUGUUGGCCGAUUUGUGUAAGGAUGUACU
Benincasa hispida (wax gourd) is the source of this 1652-nucleotide RNA transcript. It is a transcript of the gene named vitellogenin-2 protein, with no coding region annotated. The record is from RefSeq and is a predicted model, not a curated record. NCBI's taxonomy places the organism in Eukaryota, Viridiplantae, Streptophyta, Magnoliopsida, Cucurbitales, Cucurbitaceae.